RNAcentral lists this non-coding RNA (58 nucleotides) under Clostridium sp. RNAcentral describes it as "c-di-GMP sequence". It matches the Rfam family "c-di-GMP-I riboswitch aptamer". Rfam says of the family: GEMM was predicted in a large-scale screen for bacterial structured RNA regulatory elements. Genes associated with GEMM are involved in a diverse array of functions, including chemotaxis regulation, signal transduction, secretion and chitin. The record is from RNAcentral. Lineage: Bacteria; Bacillati; Bacillota; Clostridia; Eubacteriales; Clostridiaceae.
AAUGUUGAAUAGCAAACCGCCUGAAAGGACGGGACGCAAAGCUUUGGAGGCUAUUAGA